This 1392-nucleotide ribosomal RNA is filed under the name uncultured bacterium. RNAcentral's name for it is "bacterial SSU rRNA". It matches the Rfam family "Bacterial small subunit ribosomal RNA". The record is from RNAcentral.
AGUCGAACGGUAACAGUAAGUAGCAAUACUUAGCUGACGAGUGGCGCACGGGUGCGUAACACGUAUGCAACCUACCCUUUACCGGGGCAUAACCUUGAGAAAUCGGGGCUAAUAUCCCAUGUGAUUACAGAUAGGCAUCUAUUUAUAAUUAAAGUUACGAUGGUAAAGGAUGGGCAUGCGCCCCAUUAGCUAGUUGGUGAGGUAACGGCUCACCAAGGCGAUGAUGGGUAGGGGUCCUGAGAGGGAUAUCCCCCACACUGGUACUGAGACACGGACCAGACUCCUACGGGAGGCAGCAGUAAGGAAUAUUGGGCAAUGGAGGCAACUCUGACCCAGCCAUGCCGCGUGCAGGAAGACGGCCUUAUGGGUUGUAAACUGCUUUUAUAUAGGAAUAAUUUCGGGUACGUGUACCCGAUUGCAAGUACUAUAUGAAUAAGCACCGGCUAACUCCGUGCCAGCAGCCGCGGUAAUACGGAGGGUGCAAGCGUUAUCCGGAUUUAUUGGGUUUAAAGGGUGCGUAGGCGGGUAUCUAAGUCAGUGGUGAAAUACCCCGGCUCAACUGGGGAGCUGCCAUUGAUACUGGGUACCUGGAGUUUAGUUGAAGUGGGCGGAAUGUAUGGUGUAGCGGUGAAAUGCAUAGAUAUCAUACAGAACGCCGAUAGCGAAGGCAGCUCACUAAGCUAUAACUGACGCUGAGGCACGAAAGCGUGGGGAGCAAACAGGAUUAGAUACCCUGGUAGUCCACGCCGUAAACGAUGAUCACUAGCUGUUGGCGAUACACUGUCAGUGGCCAAGCGAAAGCGAUAAGUGAUCCACCUGGGGAGUACGUCGGCAACGAUGAAACUCAAAGGAAUUGACGGGGGCCCGCACAAGCGGAGGAGCAUGUGGUUUAAUUCGAUGAUACGCGAGGAACCUUACCUGGGCUUGAACGUAUGGUGCAUGAUAGAGAAAUCUAUCUUUUCAGCAAUGAACUUCAUACGAGGUGCUGCAUGGUUGUCGUCAGCUCGUGCCGUGAGGUGUUAGGUUAAGUCCUGCAACGAGCGCAACCCCUAUCUUUAGUUACCAUCAGGUUAUGCUGGGGACUCUAAAGGGACUGCCUGCGCAAGCAGUGAGGAAGGUGGGGAUGACGUCAAAUCAGCACGGCCCUUAUGUCCAGGGCUACACACGUGCUACAAUGGUCGGUACAGAGGGCAGCUACUUAGUGAUAAGAUGCUAAUCUCCAAAGCCGGUCUUAGUUCGGAUCGAAGUCUGCAACUCGACUUCGUGAAGUCGGAUUCGCUAGUAAUCGCAUAUCAGCAAUGAUGCGGUGAAUACGUUCCCGGGCCUUGUACACACCGCCCGUCAAGCCAUGGAAGUUGGGGGUACCUGAAGUCGAUAACCGUAAGGAGUCGC